This 440-nucleotide ribosomal RNA is filed under the name uncultured bacterium. Its description in RNAcentral is "partial 16S ribosomal RNA". It matches the Rfam family "Bacterial small subunit ribosomal RNA", at positions 338 to 795 of the family's 1533-position model. The record is from RNAcentral.
CCUACGGGAGGCAGCAGUGGGGAAUAUUGGACAAUGGCGGGAACCCUGAUCCAGCGACGCCGCGUGAGUGAAGAAGUUGUUCGGUAUGGAAAGCUCUAUCAGCAGGGAAGAAAAUUACGGUACCUGACUAAGACCCCGCGGCUAACUACGUGCCGGCAGCCGCGGUCAUACGUAGGGGGCAAGCGUUAUCCGGAUUUAAUGGGUGUAAAGGGAGCGUAGACGGUGCAGCAAGUCUGAUGUGAAAGGUCGGGGCCCAACCCCGGGACUGCAUUGGAAACUGUUGAACUGGAGUAGAGGAGAGGUAAGCGGAAUUCCUAGUGUAGCGGUGAAAUGCGUAGAUAUUAGGAGGAACACCAGUUGCGAAGGCGGCUUACUGGACUGUAACUGACGUUGAGGCUCGAAAGCGUGGGGAGCAAACAGGAUUAGAUACCCGGGUAGUC